GGGGUUGUAGCUCAGAGGUAGAGCACUUGUCUGGCAUGUGUAAGGCUCUGGUUUCAGUCCUCAGCCCCA
This 69-nucleotide transfer RNA is filed under the name Ictidomys tridecemlineatus (thirteen-lined ground squirrel). Its description in RNAcentral is "Spermophilus tridecemlineatus (thirteen-lined ground squirrel) tRNA". It matches the Rfam family "tRNA". Rfam says of the family: Transfer RNA (tRNA) molecules are approximately 80 nucleotides in length. The record is from Rfam by way of RNAcentral. Lineage: Eukaryota; Metazoa; Chordata; Mammalia; Rodentia; Sciuridae.